UUGAACGCUGGCGGCAGGCCUAACACAUGCAAGUCGAGCGGAUGAAGGGAGCUUGCUCCUGGAUUCAGCGGCGGGCGGGUGAGUAAUGCCUAGGAAUCUGCCUGGUAGUGGGGGAUAACGUCCGGAAACGGGCGCUAAUACCGCAUACGUCCUGAGGGAGAAAGUGGGGGAUCUUCGGACCUCACGCUAUCAGAUGAGCCUAGGUCGGAUUAGCUAGUUGGUGGGGUAAAGGCCUACCAAGGCGACGAUCCGUAACUGGUCUGAGAGGAUGAUCAGUCACACUGGAACUGAGACACGGUCCAGACUCCUACGGGAGGCAGCAGUGGGGAAUAUUGGACAAUGGGCGAAAGCCUGAUCCAGCCAUGCCGCGUGUGUGAAGAAGGUCUUCGGAUUGUAAAGCACUUUAAGUUGGGAGGAAGGGCAGUAAGUUAAUACCUUGCUGUUUUGACGUUACCAACAGAUUAAGCACCGGCUAACUUCGUG
RNAcentral lists this ribosomal RNA (483 nucleotides) under uncultured bacterium. RNAcentral's name for it is "partial 16S ribosomal RNA". It matches the Rfam family "Bacterial small subunit ribosomal RNA", at positions 30 to 507 of the family's 1533-position model. The record is from RNAcentral.